RNAcentral lists this ribosomal RNA (259 nucleotides) under uncultured Staphylococcus sp. RNAcentral describes it as "partial 16S ribosomal RNA". It matches the Rfam family "Bacterial small subunit ribosomal RNA", at positions 103 to 355 of the family's 1533-position model. Lineage: Bacteria; Bacillati; Bacillota; Bacilli; Caryophanales; Staphylococcaceae. The record is from RNAcentral.
CGGGUGAGUAACACGUGGAUAACCUACCUAUAAGACUGGGAUAACUUCGGGAAACCGGAGCUAAUACCGGAUAAUAUUUUGAACCGCAUGGUUCAAAAGUGAAAGACGGUCUUGCUGUCACUUAUAGAUGGAUCCGCGCUGCAUUAGCUAGUUGGUAAGGUAACGGCUUACCAAGGCAACGAUGCAUAGCCGACCUGAGAGGGUGAUCGGCCACACUGGAACUGAGACACGGUCCAGACUCCUACGGGAGGCAGCAGCC